This 460-nucleotide ribosomal RNA is filed under the name uncultured bacterium. RNAcentral describes it as "partial 16S ribosomal RNA". It matches the Rfam family "Bacterial small subunit ribosomal RNA", at positions 338 to 795 of the family's 1533-position model. The record is from RNAcentral.
CCUACGGGAGGCAGCAGUGAGGAAUAUUGGUCAAUGGGCGCUAGCCUGAACCAGCCAAGUAGCGUGAAGGAUGACUGCCCUAUGGGUUGUAAACUUCUUUUAUAAGGGAAUAAAACGAAUUAUGUGUACUGUUUUGCAUGUACUUUAUGAAUAAGGAUCGGCUAACUCCGUGCCAGCAGCCGCGGUAAUACGGAGGAUCCGAGCGUUAUCCGGAUUUAUUGGGUUUAAAGGGAGCGUAGGCGGGUUGUUAAGUCAGUUGUGAAAGUUUGCGGCUCAACCGUAAAAUUGCAAUUGAUACUGGCAGUCUUGAGUACAGUAGAGGUAAGCGGAAUUCGUGGUGUAGCGGUGAAAUGCUUAGAUAUCACGAAGAACUCCGAUUGCGAAGGCAGCUUGCUGGACUGUAACUGACAUUGAUGCUCGAAAGUGUGGGUAUCAAACAGGAUUAGAUACCCCUGUAGUC